UACGUAGGGGGCUAGCGUUGUCCGGAAUCAUUGGGCGUAAAGCGCGUGUAGGCGGUUCGGUAAGUCCGCUGUGAAAGUCGGGGGCUCAACCCUCGGAAGCCGGUGGAUACUGUCGAGCUAGAGUACGGAAGAGGCGAGUGGAAUUCCUGGUGUAGCGGUGGAAUGCGCAGAUAUCAGGAGGAACACCGAUGGCGAAGGCAGCUCGCUGGGACGGUACUGACGCUGAGGCGCGAAAGCGUGGGGAGCGAACAGG
This 253-nucleotide ribosomal RNA is filed under the name uncultured bacterium. Its description in RNAcentral is "partial 16S ribosomal RNA". It matches the Rfam family "Bacterial small subunit ribosomal RNA", at positions 524 to 776 of the family's 1533-position model. The record is from RNAcentral.